AGAGUUUGAUCCUGGCUCAGGACGAACGCUGGCGGCGUGCCUAAUACAUGCAAGUCGAGCGGACUUAAUGGAGCUUGCUCCAUUAAGUUAGCGGCGGACGGGUGAGUAACACGUGGGCAACCUGCCUGUAAGACUGGGAUAACUCCGGGAAACCGGAGCUAAUACCGGAUAGUAUCUUGAACCGCAUGGUUCAAGUUGGAAAGACGGUUUCGGCUGUCACUUACAGAUGGGCCCGCGGCGCAUUAGCUAGUUGGUGAGGUAAUGGCUCACCAAGGCAACGAUGCGUAGCCGACCUGAGAGGGUGAUCGGCCACACUGGGACUGAGACACGGCCCAGACUCCUAAGGGAGGCAGCAGUAGGGAAUCUUCCGCAAUGGACGAAAGUCUGACGGAGCAACGCCGCGUGAGUGAUGAAGGUUUUCGGAUCGUAAAACUCUGUUGUUAGGGAAGAACAAGUGCGAGAGUAACUGCUCGCACCUUGACGGUACCUAACCAGAAAGCCACGGCUAACUACGUGCCAGCAGCCGCGGUAAUUC
RNAcentral lists this ribosomal RNA (535 nucleotides) under uncultured bacterium. RNAcentral describes it as "bacterial SSU rRNA". It matches the Rfam family "Bacterial small subunit ribosomal RNA", at positions 8 to 526 of the family's 1533-position model. The record is from RNAcentral.